RNAcentral lists this ribosomal RNA (468 nucleotides) under uncultured bacterium. Its description in RNAcentral is "partial 16S ribosomal RNA". It matches the Rfam family "Bacterial small subunit ribosomal RNA", at positions 28 to 507 of the family's 1533-position model. The record is from RNAcentral.
GACGAACGCUGGCGGCGUGCUUAACACAUGCAAGUCGAACGGAAAGGCCCUGCUUUUGUGUGGUGCUCGAGUGGCGAACGCGUGAGUAACACGUGAGUAACCUGCCCUUGACUUUGGGAUAACAUCACGAAACUGCGGCUAAUACCGGAUAGGAGCUCCUGCUGCAUGGUGUUCGUUGGAAAGUUUCGGCCGAUGGAGAUGGACUCGCGGCUUAUCAGCUUGUUGGGGGGGUAGUGACUUACCAAGGCUUUGACGGCUAGCCGGCCUUAGAGGGUGACCGGCCACAAUGGUACUGAGAGAGGGCCCAGACGUGAACGGGAGGCAGCAGUGGGGAAGAUUGCCCAAUGGGCGGAAGACUGAUGCAGAAACGCGGCGUGCGGGAAGACCGCCUUCGGGGUAUAAACCGAUUUGGUCUGUGACGAGCCGUGCGUGACGGUAAUGGGUAAAAAAGCACCGGCUAACUACGUG